CUUUUGUCUUUUUUAGGGCCGCACCUGUGACAUAAGGAGGUUCCCAGGCUAGGGGUCCAAUUGGAGCUGUUGCUGCCGGCCUACACCAGAGCCACAGCAAUGCCAGAUCCUAGCCAUGUUUGCAACCUACACCACAGCUCACAGCAAUGCCAGAUUCUUAACCCACUGAGUGAGGCCAGGGGUCAAACCCGAAACCUCAUGGUUCCUAGUCAGAUUCGUUUCCACUGUGCGACGACGGGCACACUUUGCUUUUCAAACAGCCAGCCUGCUGGUGGCUCCUUCCUGUCCUCACUGCUGGACCACACCUUCUGUCCACCUGCAUCAUUCAUAUCUGGCCUGGGACCAUUCAUACAGUGGGCACUUCAUAAGUGAGAAAACAAAUGAUCAAAAAUUUUCCAUCUUACAUGCAAUAUGUCUAUAUCUUCCAACGUACCUCUCUGCUCCUUGCACCCUCCUCACCCCUAACAAGCCAGGUCUCCCUCCAAAUGCCCAUGGGACUGCCUGCCAAGAUUGUCAAUGAGCCUCUGCCAAGUCCCACAGACACUCCUCUCUCUGGCCACCUGAGUCCCCGUCUUCCUUGGUCCUUGUCCCCUAGUCACCCCUAACUUGCGGAGACCCUCAGAGUUCCAUUCAGUCUUCCAGGUGAUCUCUUAUGCGUCCACGGUUACCUUUUUUCCUAUAUGCUGAUCAUCCCCAAAGUUCAAAUCCUGAGGCUGUGUCAGGGGUCCCCAAGACCGCCCCAUCAUUCAGAGAUUUGCUAGAACUCAUGAGACUCAGCAUGAGUUGUGGUCAUGGAUGAGAUUUAUUACAGAGAUACAGCGAGGAUCCCGGCCAAUUGUGAGGACAGAGACUCGGCGGGUCCAGGGGAUCCGAGUGAGGCUUUUGCUUGCUCCUUCCCUCCCACGGAGGCUGCACAGAACUCACUCUUCCCCCGGCAGUGAAAAUGUAGCCACACGUGUGUGCUGUUCGGCCCAGGGAAGCCCAUGAGAGACUCAGCUUGAGUUGUAACCAGGACUGGUCGUGUAGGCGCUCUCUGCCGAGCACAUACCAACAUUCCUGACUCCCAGAGGGAAAGUAGGUGUACGGCAUAAAUCACAGUGUCUGCACAAACAGUCUAGUCACAGAAAACCACCCUUAUCAGUUAGCGGGUGAUGGGGACACUCUGAGAGCCAAGUUCCCAGACGCCAGCCAAGGGCCAGCCUUGCAGUCAGACCUUUCUAAGGACAGUAGCCCCAGGUCUGCUGUGCUUACUCCUCCCUGAAUCUGUCUCCUGAACCACAGAGCCCCAUGUUUCCAGCUUCCCACCAGACUCAGGGGCCUCGCACUCACCCUCUCCCAGCUAUUGUACCUGUUACCUGUCUUUUGUUCUCCUCUCCCCCACCCAGCCCAGGCACUGGCCCUCACAUGCCACCACCUCUUUCUAAUCGCCCUGCUGCUCAGGACCCACCCCCCACACCCCCUGCCCACCCAGGACGGCACCGACGGCCCUCAGACAAGCCUCUCUCUCUUGUGUCGCACCCCUCCCGUCUGAUUCUCACAUUAUUCAGAGUUAUCUUUUAAACACGAAAACUGGAGCAUUUCAUUCCUCCACUUAAACCCUUUAAUGGCUCCCCAGUGCAUGCCUGUAAAUGUAAAUCUUUUAACAAGAUCUUCAAGUCCCCAGCAAUCUGCCCCCCGCUCCCCCCCCCCCCGAGCUCUAGUCUUAUUUCACAUCCUUCCCCACCCCCAACACCCCACACUGGUGACACAGUGCCUUGUCAGUUUCUCCCCCAGCCCUUUCUCAUUUGGGACCUCACAUGAUCUUUUCACUGCCUGGCUCCCUCCACUCAUUCUUCAGGCUGCAGGUUGAAGGUCGCGUCCUCAGAAGUCCUCCUCCUCUCUUGCAUAGUCUAAAUGAAGUCCCGCUACUCUCUUUCAUAAUAGGAACCAUACGUGUCUGUGUGGGGCGUUCAUUUCAUGCCUCCCUCUCCUCCCCACCAGAGUGUAAGCUCCAUGAGGGCAAGGAUUCUGUGUUCACCCUGGAUUUCUGGAGCCAGGCCCGUGCUGGCUAUGUGGCUGUGUGCAUCUCCAGCAGCUCGGGCUGCCAUAACAAAGAGACUAAGGGUUUAAGGCAGAAGUCUGCUUCUCACAGUUCCAGAGGCUGGAAGUCCACGACCAGGGUGCAGUCCUGGUCAGUUCCUGGUGAGAACCCGCUUCCUGGCUUGCAGAUGGCCACCUUCUACCGUGUCCUCAUGGCCUUUCCCUGGUGUCUUCCGAGCCUGCAGUGACCUGGCCCUCCUCUCGGUCCAGUGCCUCUCAGCAGUGCCCCCUACAAAGCUCCUUGUUCCCCAUUAGGAGCCCAUGCAGUGUCCCUGUCUGCCCUCAAACCCAUGCUCCUGCAGUAGCAGCUCCUUCACAUCAUGAACCCCUGUAGCAUGGGUGGUGCAUCCAUAGAUGCCCUGUGAGCAGAGGCAGCAGAACUGCCCAAACCUGUGCUCCUAGGCGCUGAGGAACUGACAGAGAGAAAACACAUCCUGGAGAGGAAAGAGCCAUGCACGGAAGCUGGAGAAGGAGGCUGAAACCAGCUCAGCACUCAGCACUGGGUGUCUGCAGCUCCUCAGUCCCUUGCUGCCCUGGGGAGCAGAGCUGGCCCAUUA
RNAcentral lists this long non-coding RNA (2636 nucleotides) under Sus scrofa (pig). Its description in RNAcentral is "lncRNA (ENSSSCG00000054124.1)". The record is from RNAcentral. Lineage: Eukaryota; Metazoa; Chordata; Mammalia; Artiodactyla; Suidae.